UCGACGUUGCAAAGAAAUUUGAGAAGAUGAAGAAGAAGAAGGGGAAGCAUCUUCUUCUCCUUCUUCUUCUCCCAUUCCAAUUUCAACUGAAGAAGGGAAAAUUGAAGACGUCCGCAAACCAC
Molecule: non-coding RNA, 122 nt
Organism: Caenorhabditis elegans
Lineage: Eukaryota; Metazoa; Nematoda; Chromadorea; Rhabditida; Rhabditidae
Source: Ensembl